RNAcentral lists this long non-coding RNA (5069 nucleotides) under Sus scrofa (pig). RNAcentral describes it as "lncRNA (ENSSSCG00000059483.1)". Lineage: Eukaryota; Metazoa; Chordata; Mammalia; Artiodactyla; Suidae. The record is from RNAcentral.
GAUUUAUUCUGCUGAUCUUUUGCUAUCUUAAGCUGGAGGCUUAGCUUACUAAUUUUCAGCCUUCACCCCUUUACAAUGUAAACAUUCAAAAACAGACAUUUCCUUUUGUUUUUGCUACAUUUCAUGAAUUUUUGAUUUAGCAUUUUCUUUAUAGUAGUUCUAGGCAUUUACAAAUUUCCAUUUUGCUAUACUCUUGUUCAUGUAUUACUUAGUAAAUGCUUUAAAAUUUCCAAGUAUAUGAGGAUCAUAUGGCUUUAAUUUUAACUUUUCAUUGAAGAAUAAUUUGCAUACACAAAAGACAUAUUAUAAAUGCACAGCUCAAUGAAUUUUUACAAACUAAAUACAGCCAUGUCACCAACACCAAAAUCAAGAAACAAAACUUUGCCAGUAACCCAGAAGCCACCCUUAUUUUUUCUUCCACUUACUACUCUUCUCUAAGAGGAAGAACUAUCCUGACUUCUAACAGCACAGAUCUGCCUGAUUUUGUAUUUAACAUAAAUGAAAUCAUACAAUUUGUAAGCUGUUUUGUCAGACUUCUUUCAUUCAAUCUUAUAUUUGUGAGAUUAUCCAUACUAUUACAUGUAACUGUAGUUUGCUAAUUUCCCUUGCUGUAGAGUACUUCACAAUUUCUUUCUUUUUUUUUUUUAAUGAGUUUCAGUUUUAUUUGGGGACUCACUCAGGACUAUAGUCCAGAAGACAGACUCUCAGAUAGCUCUGAGGAAGCUGCUCCAAAGAAGUUAGGGGAGAGGUUAGCAUAUAGGUGAUUUUGGAGAAGGGGUACAGGUAAUCAAAUGCAUGUCUUAGUAGAAAGUUACUCUUAAGUCAAGAGGCACAGAUAUCUUAGUAGAUGAUUUUAAUGUUUUUGUAAAUAUUGGGAAGAUGCAAGAAACUGGGUUCAUGAAAUUUUCUUUUGAAAAUAUCUAUCUGAAGUCCUGUUCUGUCAGUUUUCCAAGAAAAAAUCUCGGUGUGUUGAAGGUCAGCAACUGACUGCAUAUUUGUCUUCUCUCUCUCCGUAUAUACAUAUAAAUAUAUAUAUAAACUAUAUAUAUAAUAAGACACACACACAGCACAUCUGUAUGAUUUUGUUUUUUACAUUUACAUCUUUGACCACUAGGAACUUAUACUAGUGUGUGUUAUAAGAUGGGAUUCCAAGUUUCCUCAUCUAAAUUGCCAGUCAGUUGUCCAAAUACUGCUUAUUAAAAAAUCCAUUUUUUCCUGACUGAUUUGAGAUACAAGCUUCUUCAUAUAUUAUACUUCCAUAUAUACUUGGAUCUAUUUUGAAACUUGCUAUUUUGUGAACAUUAAUUCAUCUGCUUAUUCAUGUAUCAAUUAUAAAGUUUUAUAAUAUGUCUUAAUAUUGGGUAGCACCAACUCUAUCCUCACUAUUGCUUUUUUUUUUAAUUCUGAGAAGAAGCAAAUUUGGGGAGGAACGCUUUCCAUUUUAUUUUUUGUUUUUACGUAUUUUUAAUGGCUGCACCCAGAGCAUACGGAAGUUCCCAGGCCAGGAACUGAAUCCAAGCUGCAGCUGUGGCAACAACAGAUCCUUUAAUCCCACUGCAAUGGACCAAGGAUCUAAACCAGACCUCUGCAGUGAGCCAAGUCGCUGCAGUCAGAUUCCUAACCCACCACACCACCACAGGUACUCCCUAAUUAUUGCUUUUUUAUUCCCCUAGGAUUUUCCUGGAUACUUCACAGUAUUUUUAUUCAUUCUGUUGAUGGGCAUUUGGGUAGUUUCCAGUUUCAGGCUAUUAUGAUUAGUGGCCGUGAUCAUUCUUAUACAUAAUUUUUGUUGAACAUAUGUAUGCAUUUCUGUUAGAGGAAAGGAACUGAUGGGUCAUAACUUAUGUGUAUGUUCAGCUUUAAUUGAUAUGGCCAUACAAUUUUCCAAAAUGUUUGGACCAACUUAUACUCCCACCAAUAGAGUUGGUUAUUUUUUGCAGCUAUUUUAUAACCUAAGUGCAUUAUGGUCAGAGAAUAUUUUUGGUAUUUUACCAAUUCUCUGAAAUUUUUGAGACCUACUUGAUGUUUAAUUUUCUACAACCUCCUAUGUGUGCCUGAGAAAAGCAUGCAUUCUAUAAUCAUUGAAUUUAUGGUCCUAUACAUGAUCAUUAGACUUAAUCUUAUCAACUGGAAAAGCUCAUGUACUUGAUUAUUUUUUCUCUUUUAUUUAUCAAUUACCCAAAUGGAUGUGUCAAAUUACUGCACAACGUAACUCUCUCUCUCUCUCUCUCUCUCUCUCUCUCUCUCUCUCUCUCUCUCUCUCUAUCUAUCUAUCUAUCUAAGUCUUGAGUUCAUACUGAUUCCUCUGAUUCCAAUCCAACAUUACAGGGUUAAUUUCCACCUGCCAUUUAUACCUUCUUCCUCCAACAGUGAAAAGCCUUGCUCUUAUUAUGUACACUAUAUUUAUUUGUUCUAUCCUAGUAUGCAUAUAGUUUUAGAACUGCUUACCCAUACCUUGUGAAAAACAAACUCACUAUAUAAAUUAUAGUCUUGUGUAUGGUUCUUUACAGUAUCCAGUCAAAGAAUUGCAUUCUAAAGUUAUUUACAUUAGCUCUUUUCUCCCCUAUCCCUUUCAAUAUAGUAAUAUUCACCUAUAAAACAGGUUUAUCUAUAACCAUUUGUAUUUUAUUUUGGAUUCCUGCUGACAUCCUGAUAGGUUUUGUUUAUUUAGUUUUGAGAGUAUGUGAAAUGUUACUAUAGUUCUAAAAAGAGCUAAUAAAAAGGUAUACUCAGAGAAGUAUCACUGCCUCCCCAUGCCUAUUACUCUAUUUCCAUCCCUUCCCCAAAUUUUGGCACCCCUUUCCUACAAAUCUCUUUAAAUUAUGCUUUAUCCUUUAUAUAUUCCUUUUGCACAAAUGAACAGAUUCUGUUAUAUCUUUUUUCUUACAUAAAUGUCUACCACCUUAUUUUGUAUUGUCUAGAUGUUCUAUUUUCAGAAGCUUCAUGCUUCAUUGUUUUUACUAUUUCAUUUUGGAUUAACCAUGGGUUUUUUUCCUCCCCCUUUUGUCAUGAUAAGAAAAGUACAACCAUUACUUCUAUACUUUCAGAGAUUGCCCUGGAGUUUCCAUUGUGGCUAAGCGAGUUACAAACCCAACUAGUAUCCAUGAGGAUGCGGUUUCAAUCCCUGGCCUCACUCAGUGGGUUAAGGAUCCAGCGUUGCCAUGAGCCGUGGUGUAGGUCACAGACAUGGCAUGGAUCCCCUGUUGCUGUGCUGUGGUGUAGGCCAGCAACUGCAGCUCCAAUUGGACCCCUAUACUGGGCACUUCCAUAUGCCAUGUAUGCGCCCCUAAAAAGCAAAAAAAAAAAAAAAAAAAAAGAAGAAGGAGUUGCCCUUAAAUUUUAACUCAUACUUUGUUAAUAUCUAAAGAUAAUCAGUAUGUCAACUUUUCCCAGGACUUUUAUAAUCAUAAAAAUUAAUGUUAGGCUAGGCACUUUACUUAUGACAAGUCACUUAAGGCCUAUGUGGUUGAGCAAUUUGCCCAAAGUUACUCAGAUGAGUCCUGAAAUUGGGAUUUAAAUUCAGAGAGUCUUGUUCUAUAUUCCGUGUUCUUAAACAUUUUGCUUUAUUUAACCUGGAACACUUGAAUUUGGGUCACUUCCUCCCUUCUUAGAUGUUAUUCCUAUCAGCUAUUUUUUUCAGUUUCUUUUAUUAGCUCACAAUCCCCUAUUGCAUCUAAUACCUUCCUUUAGAGAACGUUUUCCUUGGUCGUGAAGUAUAUACUUUUAGAAGUACCUUUAGUAUAUGCUGAAAGUAAAAAUUCUCAGCUUUUAUUCGCCAGAGACUGUAUUUAUUUAAUGAUAGCUCAGCUGAGGUUGACAGUUAUUUUCUCUCAGUACUCUGAAUAUAUAACUCCUUUGUCUUCUGGUUUCCUUGUCAGUGAUGAGAUGUCUGCUUUAAGUGUUGUUAUCACACCCUUUCUAAGUAAAUUGUCUUUUCUCUUUGUUUGUCCUUUAUAAACUUCUUUUUGUCUUUAGUGUUCUACAUAUUGCAACAAGACACAUCCAAGUGUGAAUUACUUUUUGAAAGUCCCAUUGGGAUUCAUUAUGUAUCCUGAGUCUGAAGAUUUAUGUCUUCAACAAUUCUAGAAAAUCAUUAGACAUAAUCUCUUCAGAUAAUGUGUCUCUCCCAUCCUCUCAACUCUUUCAUUCUGGAACUCCAACUAGAUGGACAUUAGACCUUCUCAUUCUACCCUUACUAUUGGUGUUUUUACCCCAAAAUUAGAUAUUAUUAUAAUUUAUUUAUUUAGUCAAUGUUUGUUUCAUUCUUUCAAUUGCUUAUUGUUUUGAUAAUAUUUUCUUGGCUAAUUUUUAAGGGCUUUCUAUAUACUAAGGAAAUUAUCCAUUGUUAGUCUUCUGAAAAUCUAUUUUCCUCAAUUGAUCAAUUUUUCUUUUGACUUUCUUUAUGGUAUCUUUUACAAUGCAGCUAUUUUAAACUAACAUACAGUCAGAUCUAACAAUUUUUUAUAUUGUGGGUUUUGGAUUUGGGAUAUUUCUUCAAAAGACCUUCUCCAUCCCAACUCAUUAAAAAAAUUCUCCUGGAGUUCCCCUUGUGGCACAGCGGAAACGAAUCUGACUAGAAACCAUGAGGUUGUGGGUUCGAUCCCUGGUCUCACUCAGUGGGUUAAGGAUCCUGCGUUGCUGUGAGCUGUGGUGUAGGUCACAGAUGCAGCUCAGAUCUGGUGUGGCUGUGGCUGUGGUGUAGUUCAGCAGCUGUAACUCCAAUUUAGACCCCUAGCCUGGGAACCUCCAUAUGCUGCAGGUGCGGCUGCAAAAAUACAAAAAAAAAAAAAAAUUCCCAUGCUUUGGUCUCAUUCAUUUAUGAUUUUAAUCAAUAUUUUUAAACAGAUCUACUUAGAAUUUAUUUUGGCGUAAGAGUGAAUUCAUAUCCAGAUUUUUCUCCCAAAUAACUAACCAAUUACCUUAAAGCCAUUCAUCCAUUCAUUCAUCAAAUAAACUAUCUUUUAUCCUAUUUAUUUAAAGCUCCCUUUUUCACAUACUACCUGUGUAUUUGGAUUGAUUCUGAGUCCUUGGUUUUGCUCCACUGAUAAAUUAAUUCACUAAUGCGGAUG